CACACACACACACACACACACACACACACACACACACACACACACACACACACUCUCCAUCUCUGUCAUUACCCUGUCUCAUGUUAAUCAGCUGUGUCCUUGUGGGCGCCACCUCAGGACACUCCAACUCCCAUCAGCCACCACGUCUGUCUCACAUUACUAAUCCCAGCAUGCCAUCCCUGGGGGCAAUUAAGCUUUCAAUUAUUUUUAUACCUCUGAGUCAUGGGAAAGCCAUGGGUUACAGUGAAACUCGCUAUCUGUUAAUGAGAGGAGGGUUAUGGUGAAACUACCACCCCCGUAAUUACUAAUAGUACUACCUAAUCACUCUCUGUUAAUAAGAGGAGGGUUAUGGUGAAACCAGCCCCCCUGUAAUUACUAAUAGUACUACCUAAUCACUCUUUGUUAAUAAGAGGAGGGUUAUGGUGAAACUAGUACCCCCGUAAUUACUAAUAGCACUACCUAAUCACUCUCUGUUAAUGAGAGGAGGGUUAUGGUGAAACUAGUACCCCCGUAAUUACUAAUAGCACUACCUAAUCACUCUCUGUUAAUGAGAGGAGGGUUAUGGUGAAACUAGUACCCCCGUAAUUACUAAUAGCACUACCUAAUCACUCUCUGUUAAUGAGAGGAGGGUUAUGGUGAAACUCAUUCCCUUAAUGACUGUGCUACCUAGGCCAUGGGAGUCAGUUGAGAGGUUACAGUGAAAAGUGUCUCAGCCUGUUUUAUUUAGUCACCCUCCAUGUCCCUAUGAUAGAUGUACACAUGCUCACGGGGACACACACACGCUUACGGGGACACACACACAAAUGUGUGUAUUUUAGGCAUGUAGAGCAGGGCGUGAUUACAAGUGGUGGCCAUGCAACAGCUGUGAGGAGAAAAGGAGUUGAGGAAGAGAGGAGAGAAGAAAACAGGAGAAGAAGAGGAGGACAGGAGAAGAGGAGGACAGGAGAAGAGGAGGACAGGAGGACAGGAGGACAGGAGAAGAGGAGAACAGAUGUGAGAAGAGGAGGACAGGAGAAGAGGAGGACAGGAGAUGGGGAGGACAGGAGUGAGAAGAGGAGGACAGGUGAAGAGGACAGGAGUGAGAAGAGGAGGACAGGAGUGAGAAGAGGAGGACAGGAGAAGAGGAGGAUAGGAGAAGAGGAGGACAGGAGUGAGAAGAGGAGGACAGGAGAAGAGGAGGAUAGGAGAAGAGGAGGACAGGAGUGAGAAGAGGAGGACAGGAGAAGAGGAGGACAGGAGUGAAAAGAGGAGGACAGGAGAAGAGGAGGACAAGAGUGAGAAGAGGAGGACAGGAGUGAGAAGAGGAGUACAGGAGUGAGAAGAGGAGUACAGGAGUAAGAAGAGGAGGACAGGAGUGAGAAGAGGAGGACAGGAGAAGAGGAGGACAGGAGUGAGAAGAGGAGGACAGGAGAAGAGGAGAACACGAGUGAGAAGAGAAAGACAGGAGUGAGAAGAGGAGAACCGGAGUGAGAAGAGAAGGACAGGAGAAGAAAAGGAGGACAGGAGUGAGAAAAGGAGUACAGGAGUGAGAAGAGGAGGACAGGAGAAGAGGAGGACAGGAGUGAGAAGAGGAGUACAGGAGUAAGAAGAGGAGGACAGGAGAAGAGGAGAACACGAGUGAGAAGAGAAAGACAGGAGUGAGAAGAGGAGAACCGGAGUGAGAAGAGAAGGACAGGAGAAGAAGAGGAGGACAGGAGUAAGAAGAGGAGGACAGGAGAAGAGGAGAACAGGAGUGAGAAGAGGAGGACAGGAGUAAGAAGAGGAGAACCGGAGUGAGAAGAGAAGGACAGGAGAAGAAGAGGAGGACAGGAGUAAGAAGAGGACAGCCAAAUAACCCUUCCAGUUGUCCAAACUCCAGUUGUUCAAACUCGAGGGCCUAUUCAGUGGGGUGCACCGUUCAGGGCUUUAAUUCACACCGUGUCUCGGAGUAGGAGUGAUGACCUAGGACCAGUUAAAUAAAACGGGGUGCCCUGAUCAUAGAUCGUCUUCUCUGAGACACUUAGUGAACGCAGGACCAUAACAUCACAUAUCUACAUUUGAGAGACAUGGACUAAACGUUCCCCAAUUACCCAAAUGAACCCUCUAUCAUUGGACCCUUCUUCUUACAGUCAAGCACCACAUUUUCAUUUCUCCCCAUGAAACUCCGUUGCUGUCCUGACAGGCCUUUUACUCAUGCCAUUACACAUUCUGAUGGCCACAAGCCAACAGACUACAGACGACAAAGUCCAACGAUGUAAUUCCUACAGAGUUGCCAUCAUGGCUAGUUUUUGAGCAAUCACAAAGUUUUAAAUAUGUUUGUUAGAGGUUAAAGUUUGUUUUCCUGUGUAGUUGGAUGCAGCCUGUAUUUAGAGUGGGUGUAGUACAUUUACAGAGCAGCUAUUAGGGAUGAUGGCUUCUCAGUAUUAUCACG
Oncorhynchus tshawytscha (Chinook salmon) is the source of this 2410-nucleotide long non-coding RNA. Lineage: Eukaryota; Metazoa; Chordata; Actinopteri; Salmoniformes; Salmonidae. The record is from Ensembl.